Branchiostoma floridae (Florida lancelet) is the source of this 2480-nucleotide long non-coding RNA. RefSeq lists it as uncharacterized. NCBI's taxonomy places the organism in Eukaryota, Metazoa, Chordata, Leptocardii, Amphioxiformes, Branchiostomatidae. The transcript has 2 exons. The record is from RefSeq and is a predicted model, not a curated record.
CAUCAGCGGCGCAGGGCCAGUGCAGCGGUUGUUCUUGUACCGAGUGGUUCGGGUACCGUGAGCUUCAGGAAAAGGAACUCCAGUAUCUUCGAGAAGAGAAUCUUCAGCAUCUCAAGAAGAGGAGGUCCAGCAUCUUAAGACAUCAUGACCGUCAUCACCAGCUUCUCGUCGGGAGAUGAAAAGCGUGAAAAGCAUAACUACAACUACGACUGCACCUUCGCUGGUGGGAAGGAGCGGAGGAAGUACUUCACCAGGCAGUUCUUCUGCAUCUUUCCCCCGGUCUACCCGACGGGAUCGCUCUUCCAGCCGCCCAGCGUUUUCAACAGCGGCUCCUGGAGUGUCCGCCUGAAGCUCAACAGGCAGACAUCGCUGCGCCAACGGAGGACCCCCAUCUUCCUUCGGAACUACACCCAGCCAGGCUCUGGAUUCACCGUCCGCUAAGCACACGGGCGACCGAAAUGCCUGAGGAUGUCAACGAAGAAAUGCACUCAUAAGAAACAAAGCUUUACUCAAGUUAUAGACCCGGCGGAAUCGUCGCGUAUGAACCUAUUUUGAGAUCUAUCUGUCAUCAUGUAAGUCGUUAAAGAACAUAAGGGUCACGCCCCGCAUUCGUCAGUGUUAUUCUUGUCUAUGACACCGUGCCAGCCUCUGUGAGUAUGGCAUCAAUGUGACCUGAUACCAAUUGCCAUGACCUAUGCUUGUAAUAUACAGUCUGUUUGGUACUAACUAAACGGGGUUGCAAAGUUGCAAACAGAUUUGUUGGGCAGAUAUUGCACAGAUUAAAGGUAAAAAAAAUCAUCUCCUCCUUGACAUAAGCGAAAUGGCAACCACUGUCAUAAUUUCUCUUCCUUAGUUGGCUUUUGCUAAAACGUUUGGCUUUCGUUAGACAUUGUAUUAUGUAUGUGAAAAAUCAGCAAAGUAUGCUUCAUCGUGAAUUUCUCAUUGCCAUAUUUACGCCUGUGGCUCACAACGUGUACUUAGCUACACGACAUACAUGUAAGCCGCCACUUCAGCGGAUUAGGCGGGUCGAGAGUUAAACUAUUAACAUUGAUAUUCCGUUACAACAAAACGUGAAAGGAUGACAGUUUAGUCAGACAUAAAUCGAUAUCAAAUAUCGCUGAACAUUGUAUGAGCCAGUCCCCCAGUUUUCUUAUCAAAAUGUUAUCUUUUUUAGAUGAAAGUCAAAAAUCGCUGAUGAGUAUUUCGUUGUCAAAGAAAUGGACACCAAAGCUUCGUGCAAAAGUGCGAAAGGACCUUUCCACUUGUAAACAUUACAGCGAUACAAAAGAGCUGCGUGUUUUGAAUUUUUGAAAUUCUAUGCAGGGUGUGAGGUCUGGAUCCCAGCGAGAGCAAGUGGUGCACGCCAUGAUCCACAUGUAGCUGGCAGCGGGGAACAUUGCUGUGAUAAAUCAAGGCUUAUAUUACGUUCUGACCCUACAAAAGCUCAAGCUGUGGGCCUAAAAUCAAAUAUGCCUUUCUCUGUGUAGUAUUUGCCUAAUGUUUUAUGUCACGUUGUUCUGAUGUUCUUAUAUGUCUAUCAACAAACUUUUGAUGAGAAUAUUUGGACAUCUGAAUAUUCCUGCGAGACCCUGUAACAGUCGUGGAUUAACACGGCGUCACUCUUUCAUCAAAUUUGUUGUUGCUGUACUUUAAAAUAUUUAUGUUCUUAUUGGUCCAUGUUUUGUACAGUGUAUAUAUGUUUUAAGUUGUCUGCAUGGAACUGUGAUAGAUAUAUUGUCUGUAGAGUGCCCAUGAGACCCUCCACAACUUUCCUCGUCAGAGACGAAAACAUCGACUAAAAGAGAAUAACACUCUCAGCUUGUCUGUUCUGUAAAGUUAAUAGCCUGGUAAUUUCCACGCAUCUACAGAACUGAAAGAUAGAAGUCAUCAACUGAGAUCUGCCAAAAACCCGAACCACUCGGUACUGUCAAGAUCUCUUGUCGAGGAAAGGCUGCCAUCCCUAGAAGAGUAUUUUGAUAACAUCUGUGCAAAUGAAAACACUCUACGAUGAAGAGCGUACUUAAGACGAUGUCUGAGUACGUACAUAUUGAAGGGGAAUAAGGUGGUUUCACAUGUUUUACAUGUGUGUACAUUCAGGAGAACAGAGUUAUUUGACAUCAAACCCAUCCACAGCUCGGGAGGAGACUUACAGAGCAUCUAAUAUAUACUUUUGAUAUAUUUGAUGAUUGGUUGAAUUGUGGAUCUGAUGUCAAAAUGUGCUAUUCAUAUAUUGUACGGAUACUGAGAUCUCGCGAUAGAUAACGAGAUGUUGCCUCAGUAAUGUUGAAAUUGUUCGGAUGGUAUGUUGUAACAGUAGAGAUGUUUGGGAAACGAAUCUCCGCGGAAAGGCAGCGAGGAGGGGGGUCUCCUCUAUUGGCCUGCACAAAACCAGACCUUAGAGAAAAUGGGAUCACUGUCCUGUCUUAUAUUCUGUAAACUAUGUGUUUAUAUCAUUCAGAAAUAAACGUUUAAAAAUUUCC